UAAUACAUCGGAACGUACCUUAUCGUGGGGGAUAACGCAGCGAAAGCUGUGCUAAUACCGCAUACGCCCUGAGGGGGAAAGCGGGGGAUCGAAAGACCUCGCGCGAUUAGAGCGGCCGAUGCCUGAUUAGCUUGUUGGUGGGGUAAAAGCCCACCAAGGCGACGAUCAGUAGCUGGUCUGAGAGGACGAUCAGCCACACUGGGACUGAGACACGGCCCAGACUCCUACGGGAGGCAGCAGUGGGGAAUUUUGGACAAUGGGGGCAACCCUGAUCCAGCAAUGCCGCGUGAGUGAAGAAGGCCUUCGGGUUGUAAAGCUCUUUUGUCAGGGAAGAAACACCGGCUCUAACACAGUCCGGGAAUGACGGUACCUGAAGAAUAAGCACCGGGUAACUACGUGCCAGCAGCCGCGGUAAUACGUAGGGUGCGAGCGUUAAUCGGAAUUACUGGGCGUAAAGCGUGCGCAGGCGGUUAUACAAGACAGGCGUGAAAUCCCCGGGCUUAACCUGGGAAUGGCGCCUGUGACUGUAUAGCUAGAGUGUGUCAGAGGGGGGUAGAAUUCCACGUGUAGCAGUGAAAUGCGUAGAUAUGUGGAGGAAUACCAAUGG
RNAcentral lists this ribosomal RNA (607 nucleotides) under uncultured beta proteobacterium. RNAcentral's name for it is "bacterial SSU rRNA". It matches the Rfam family "Bacterial small subunit ribosomal RNA", at positions 111 to 715 of the family's 1533-position model. The record is from RNAcentral. Lineage: Bacteria; Pseudomonadati; Pseudomonadota; Betaproteobacteria.